This 450-nucleotide ribosomal RNA is filed under the name uncultured bacterium. Its description in RNAcentral is "partial 16S ribosomal RNA". It matches the Rfam family "Bacterial small subunit ribosomal RNA", at positions 338 to 795 of the family's 1533-position model. The record is from RNAcentral.
CCUACGGGUGGCAGCAGUGGGGAAUUUUGGACAAUGGGCGCAAGCCUGAUCCAGCAAUGCCGCGUGCAGGAAGAAGGCCUUCGGGUUGUAAACUGCUUUUGUCAGGGAAGAAAUCUUCUGGGCUAAUAUCCCGGGAGGAUGACGGUACCUGAAGAAUAAGCACCGGCUAACUACGUGCCAGCAGCCGCGGUAAUACGUAGGGUGCGAGCGUUAAUCGGAAUUACUGGGCGUAAAGCGUCCACAGGGGGGUGAAAUCCCCGGGCUCAACCUGGGAACUGCAUUUGUGACUGCAAGGCUAGAGUACGGCAGAGGGGGAUGGAAUUCCGCGUGUAGCAGUGAAAUGCGUAGAUAUGCGGAGGAACACCAAUGGCGAAGGCAAUCCCCUGGGCCUGUACUGACGCUCAUGCACGAAAGCGUGGGGAGCAAACAGGAUUAGAUACCCUUGUAGUC